RNAcentral lists this non-coding RNA (28 nucleotides) under Homo sapiens (human). Lineage: Eukaryota; Metazoa; Chordata; Mammalia; Primates; Hominidae. The record is from RNAcentral.
UGCACAGACCAGACACGAAGGCAGUUUC